Molecule: ribosomal RNA, 251 nt
Filed under: uncultured bacterium
Lineage: Bacteria
Description: partial 16S ribosomal RNA
Rfam family: Bacterial small subunit ribosomal RNA
Source: RNAcentral
GACGGGGGGGGCAAGUGUUCUUCGGAAUGACUGGGCGUAAAGGGCGCGUAGGCGGUGAAUCGGGUUGAAAGUGAAAGUCGCCAAAAAGUGGCGGAAUGCUCUCGAAACCAAUUCACUUGAGUGAGACAGAGGAGAGUGGAAUUUCGUGUGUAGGGGUGAAAUCCGUAGAUCUACGAAGGAACGCCAAAAGCGAAGGCAGCUCUCUGGGUCCCUACCGACGCUGGGGUGCGAAAGCAUGGGGAGCGAACAGG